UACGUACAACUGGCCGUGAGUGAAGACGGUCCUAGGAAGAUAUAAAGCAACUUGAUUCAGACUUUGUUCUUGACUUUUAUCGCAUAGCAAAGAUGCAGUGGAUAUUGGCUUCGGCAUAAUGUGAAAGGAUGCAUGGUGUCAAGAGGGGAAAGCUGUAUCCGAGGGAUCAAUAUUUGUUCACCUGCAUCUUUCCCAGUCAUGAUCUCAGCCUCGACUAUCAUGUUACCUAGUCCAGUAACUAUCAUCCUUGUCCCAUUACAUAAUUCAUAAGUCUGGUUGAGAUUGAGCAGCAUCAAGACUGGAGACUGUACCUUCAAUCAGAGUCUGUG
This 329-nucleotide long non-coding RNA is filed under the name Brassica napus (rape). Its description in RNAcentral is "long non-coding RNA (BNAP_LNC003400)". The record is from RNAcentral. Lineage: Eukaryota; Viridiplantae; Streptophyta; Magnoliopsida; Brassicales; Brassicaceae.